UCUCCAGACAGCCAGUUCCCCAGUGCCAUUUCCUGUCUGCAUCCUCCUCUUCAUAGGCUGUUGUGAGGAAGAGCAGCGCCUAUGCCUUCUGCUCCGCCUAAGUCCACCUCCUCAGAAACCUCCAGACGCACCUGGUCAGGUUGGUGUGUGUGUGUGGGGGGGGGGGGGGGGGGGGGAGGGGACAGGUACCGCAUUACAACUGCUGCCAUUUUUAACAGAGAGAAUGGACCAAACACAGGACCUAGAGCAAAACCAUGCUCUUGUCACACCCUUCAGAAACUCACCUCGGGGUAGGCUUUUUUUUUUUUUUUUUUUUUUUUCAAAACAGAAUUUAUGUGUCUGGUUUGUGGACAUCACCUUAAUCAGAAAGGCUGACUUUUUUGGCCCUGUCCAUGCCUCUGUCUGCUCCUCACGUGAACAGAAACGGCUGGAAAGCCUGGCUUAUGUGCCACCUUUCUCAGUGAUGUAACAAGCUAUCGGAAAAAUAAGACCACUGAUUAUCUGACACCUACGAGAGUGUGAUUAUGAUGUCACAAUGAAAACAUAAAGGAGUCAUGUCAGCAUCACUGAAGUUCGUCAGUCCCCUUGACAAAGACGAUUUCUCUCGUUAUUUUGUCAAGGGCACGUCAACCAACUGAUCAAGUAUUGGUAAAGAGGGUGAAGUGCAUCCAUUGAAAUAUAGCAAAUGAAUAUUUACUAAGCCAUAGGUUUUCCAACGUUUUGUGGCAAUGUUUUUCUACUAGAAUGUACAUUUUAUGAUGAAAAAAAAAUGUAACAUACAAUACUUCAUAUUUCAGUAGAGCAAGCCUUAAGGGACCAAUAGAGACAGGUUUGCUCUUGCUUUGUAAAAUGUAGGAUAUGAAAAUCAGAUUCAAAGCUCUGUGAAAAGGAAACUGUAAAUGUAGCACCAGGUAGUAGUUUAUAUUUUUGAAAGAUAGACCAUAUUGCCACACAUAUGUGCUAGGAGUUUGAUUUGGGACUAUUAUUCUUUUUUUUUUUGCUAAAUUAACUGUCUGGUUGAAAACAAGAUAGUGUCAGCAUCUGAUUUGCCAUAGAAUUUUGUACACAAUUUGGUUGUAGGGCAGGUUCACCCCCACCUCCACCCCCACACAGUGGAAUGUGAUCCCAUGUUUUAGUCAUAUUUUUCCCCUCUUUUUCCUGAUCUACAACAGCACUUUAGCAUGAGAGUAUUGUUACUUUCUUCGUCAUGACCAGUAAGAUUUCUGAAUGUCAGUAGCGUGACGGCAGUCUUGUCUCACGUCACGCCAUCCAUGUGGUUCGCCUUAUGCGCUUCAGCCCUUAAAAACCCACCACUCCAAAACGAUGCGUCUGUUCCGGUCAGCAAUAAGUGCCCUUCCUGCACACCCUGUGUCUGUGUGGUAAUAUGGUAGCACCCGUGUCUGUGUGGUAACCAUGGUAGCGAGUGAAGCUCGGAUCUGCACUUGUACGAUGUUGGAGUUUUGUCGAAAGCAUUUUGUCGCCCACUGCGGCUUCUGACUCUGUUGGCGCUACGGGGGUGGAGGUGGGGGGGCUCUGUUUGUCCCGGGCGGCACGAUGCACACUAUCGGAUGUACAUAUCCCCAAAUGCAUGAUGGAAGAAUGGCCUUUCACCAGGAUCUUUUUUUUAUUAUUAUUAUUGUGCCAGGGGCGAAGGGGUGGUGUGGGCUUCUGACUUGGUUUGGCCACACCCUUUUCCUAACUCUCUUUAGAGAAAAUGCCAGGCCACUGUCUGGUCACAGUUGAAUUGGUGAAGCAUUAACUAAAUAUCUAUGGAGCGUUUACUUACUUUUUGAAGACAGAUUUGUCUGCGUGCUUGGCCAGUAUUGCCUAGUAUUGCAUUCUUUUGUUCAGUGUUGUUUUUGUUUUGUCCCUGACCAGGGAGCCCCAACCCUGUUGAUUCGGUCUGGGCCUUUAUGCAAUACCAAUGGUUCCUGUUACAUGCUGAGAAAUGUUAUAAAAAAAAUCCUGAAUGAAGUUAUCUUAGACAUUUGUGGAUAGGAAUAAAACUAUUAUCAAUAAUAUUUAAAUGUUUAUGUUUCUGUGUAUCAGUGUGGGAAACACUUGGUCUUGUACAGUUGGGUAACAGAAAUCAUAUGAACAAAACAGUGUAAGCUAUCCUAAUUAUUGCAUAAAAAAGCAUUGUAUAUAGCUGCUAUUUGAAAUGAUGGAAUGAUCGUUUCAUAGAGAUGAAAUUAAAUUAAUGAAGAUGAGAGAAUUCAGAUGUACGUUGUGGAGGGUUCUCUGUAGAGGAGAAUGGCCGUGUCGGAUAGUGUCCGCGGGUGGGGAGCGCUGUGGUCUCACUAUGCCAGAGCCUUCGCCAGGCCAACCCUCAUCUCUUUCCAAUAGCAUUUCUGUCUUAAGAAAAUCACCAGCAGCCUCUUUUACUUUCUUUUCUUUUUUUCUUUUUGCUGUUCGCAAAAACUUCAAAUGGUGGCUCAAGGUAAAAGCAUCACACACAUCCAGGUACUCCUAUUGUCUCUUGCGCUCUGUCAGCGACGUGCAGGUAUUUCUACCGGCCAUCAGGGCGGCGACACACCAGCUAUGACUUAAACCUACAAAUACAACUCAUACCUGUACACCUCUGGUUCCAUGCAAAUGAAUGGGUGCGGAGAGACGGGGGAACAUGUCUCCCUCGCCAUGGCAACAUGCCCAUCUCUCCGCAUUGCUCAUGUUUUCCUCGAUGUCAGACUUACAGCGCCUCUGGCCUUAUCUUCUACUCCAGCCAAGGGGAGAGAUAAGCAUGGAGUGCUCAGUGGACACACACACCAUUUGUGUGUGUGUGUUUUUUGUUUGUUUGUUUUUGUUUGUCAACACGCAGUUCAGGAGAAGAGGUAUGCAAUGUACCCUUUUGUUACCCAGACGCUAAAAUGUCGGCAGUUUCACCACCAGAUAUGCAAUUUGUGACACGAAACACAUUAUGCAGUCUUAUUUUUAUUUCUCCAUCACAACAAUGCACAGGACCUUCACAGUGUCGGGAUGGCAGUUUUUAAAUUAGUCUCUUUGUAUUGAGCAUGAUCCCGGCGAACCAGGGACGCCGAAGCCGCGCCUGACAUAAAAAUAAACACUAGUGAAUGUGCAUAAUGCAAACGGCUUGUCGUCCCAGGAACGACUGCCCCAGAAUAACAGCACAAUUAGCAUAACUCAAGUAAAGGUCAUGCCAAAACCAAAAGGGGGACCUGUUCUUCUUUAUGCAAAACUGUAUGGGCAACAUGCCCUUCGUCCUCGGGGCUGGCAUUUGCUUCAUUGACAACUGCAGCGUAAACAUAUGCAGACUCUGUGCUUAUCAAUUAACACUGUGACAAGAGACUGCCUAGGAAUGCACAGGAGCUUCAGAAAUACCAAAAAGUAAAAAAAAAAAAUUUAAAAAAAUCAAUAGAAUAAAAAACAGCACUUGCAUUUUUGAUUUGGGAAACUUGUGAAAACUGCCAGCUAACCAACAGCACAGGACAUUUUUGUUUGGGUCGCAAAAGGAUGUCAUUACCCAGGGUGCUUUUCUGCUCAGUGGCUGCUCCUGUGACAACAUUGUGUCAAAGGUAGAAGAAAGCUUUAUCAUGUUUUGUUUGGUGCCUAAGUUUGAAUAAAUAAACAUGCAUUUAAUUUUGUUAUUCCACCUAGACUGAUGCACAGCAUGUGGGUUUGAUUUCUAAUGUUUGCAUCACUUGCUUUUUAAGUAAUUUAUUAAAAGCUGAAAAAAAAAUGAUAAUGUAAUUAACUGGUUUUUAAAAAGGUCAUAAUCAAGAGAAAAUAUACCUCCUUUGAAGACCAAUGUUUUUACCUCAGUGUGUAGCCUAGAUCUGAUUUGUUUACUCCAGGUUUGCGAAUUUUAUUUCUAUGAAAUGCUAAAUUGAAGAGAAGAAGGAAAAAAAAAGCGAAUUUUGUUGAUAGCAUUUGUAUUUGUGUUCUGUGUCUGUUCCAGUCUGUUCCUCCUCCUACCAUGACCUGUAGAUAACUUUUAGUUUGUCUAAAUUGUAAGUGCUUUACUGAUGUCAAACCCCUUUGUCCUUUUUAAAGAAAUGCUCUUUCUCUAUGCUAUGUAAAAUGCCUUGUGUACUUUUCUUUAAAAUGAUAUAUAAUGUAUGUAAUGAAAACAGAAUGGACUGAGAAGUGGUUGAACUUGGAAAAGGACUCUUAUCUUAUAGAGCUGGCUUGUCCUCUGGAUCCCUGUACUAUCAGAGGCCGACAUGUUGCAUUUGUAUUGCCCAGUAGCACUAAACUUGAAGUGCCCUGAGCAGGAGCUGUUGAAGCACCUUCACUACGCCCUGUUGCAGUGUGGUUCGUAGCAUAUACUCCCAGAUGCCCCUCACACGAAGGGAUUGGAAAGGUCAUUCUGAGCGUUUGGGCAGGGUGAGGCAAAGGGCACCAGAUAGCUGCAUAUUCAUGGAUGGAUCCAUGCCACACUGGGGUCAGAUCUGUCCCACAGUCCACUGCUAUGUGGGAAGCUGUACCAGAAUUAGUGUCCCUGAAGGUGUUCCACAGCUCCUGUGUAGGGUCCCUCAGUCAAGCAUUACCGAUGUUCUUUGUUUUUGUUUUAUUUUUAAGAUGUAAGAUGAACGAUCAACAUAGGAACCUAGCAGAGUGAAGCUGAUGCUGUUGCACUCUAACCUAGUGGACUAGGAAGUGGUGUGAAUAAAAUCCAUUCAAGUUUUUCAGCAAUGCCCUGUGCCUUAUUGAGUUUGUUUUAUUCAUGUUCAUUCAUUCCAUAUUGACUAUAAAGACGAAGAAAAUGUGUGAGUUUCUCUGUUCCCUAUUGGAAUUUUCCACAGUCGUGACAAGACUGGAAGCUUAUUCAUUAAAGAAUUGAGAGGCACUUAACAUGAAGCCCUGAUUUGUAACACUCUAGUUUUCCCAUUUAUCCUUUGAAUAAUAAAUUAAAAGACGGAAUUGAUGGAUGCCGGUCGUUAAGGCCUACUCGUCUCCAACCCUGAGGUUUUCCUCCCAUCAUCUCAUUGUCAUCACCACACAUAAUGUAGGCUUUUAACUGGCUCCCAAUUAGAAUACAAAUUUAAUCUUUUUAUUGCAUUGACCGUUCUCAUUGACCAAAGUUACUCCGAUAUCUAAUUUACAGUGAAUCGGAUUGUAAAGCAUUUUGGGAAUAGGCCAUAGUUUCAAGGGCUCAUUAAACUAUCUGCGAUCUAUUGCACCGAUCGACAUUUGUGUCACCCCCAAUUACAGGGUAUAUUGCACAAGCCUGGAGUACACGCAACAAAUUUAAACUGACAGGCAAUGUCCCUUUUUUUUCUUUUUCAAUGUCAUGUAGCCCCUGGUCUGUUUCAUGAGGAUAUU
Molecule: long non-coding RNA, 5283 nt
Organism: Clupea harengus (Atlantic herring)
Lineage: Eukaryota; Metazoa; Chordata; Actinopteri; Clupeiformes; Clupeidae
Source: Ensembl